RNAcentral lists this ribosomal RNA (499 nucleotides) under uncultured bacterium. RNAcentral's name for it is "partial 16S ribosomal RNA". It matches the Rfam family "Bacterial small subunit ribosomal RNA", at positions 28 to 507 of the family's 1533-position model. The record is from RNAcentral.
GACGAACGCUGGCGGCGUGCUUAACACAUGCAAGUCGAACGGGCCCGCCCCUGUUUUUGGGGGUGGGUUGAGUGGCGAACGGGUGAGUAUCACGUGAGUAACCUGCCCCCUGCUCCUGGUUAACUGCUUGAAAGGGCGGCUAAUACGGGGUGUGCCGGCUGGUCCGCAUGGGCCUGGUCGGGAUAGUUUCAUCUUCGGGUGUUUCGGUGGGGGAUGGGCUCGCGGCCUAUCAGCUUGUUGGUGGGGUGAUGGCCCACCAAGGCGGUGACGGGUAGCCGGCCUGAGAGGGUGGGCGGCCACACUGGGACUGAGACACGGCCCAGACUCCUGCGGGAGGCAGCAGUGGGGGGUAUUGCACAAUGGGCGGAAGCCUGAUGCAGCGACGUCGCGUGAGGGAUGGAGGCCUUCGGGUUGUGAACCUCUUUCUCCGGUGGUGAAGGCCCUGUCCGUUGCGGCGGGGUUGACGGUAGCCGGGUAUGAAGCGCCGGCUAACUACGUG